Long non-coding RNA from Ailuropoda melanoleuca (giant panda), 878 nucleotides. RefSeq lists it as uncharacterized. The record is from RefSeq and is a predicted model, not a curated record. NCBI's taxonomy places the organism in Eukaryota, Metazoa, Chordata, Mammalia, Carnivora, Ursidae. The transcript is spliced from 2 exons.
AGAUUAAGCAAGACAUGUGUGAGGUCAUGCCAAUUCUUGAAGGAAUCUGAACCCACAUUAUUCGGAACCCAGAGUCUAUUCUCUGAACCAACAUUUUCUGUCCUAAAUCAGGUAUUUCUUCAAGGAUGAACACGAGGACAGACACCCUUCCAUUCGAGUGGAUCCUUCUCACCGCUUCCACCUCUCUUUGGGUUCAUGAAGUCUUUCUCUCACCUCUCCGUGGAGUUGAGGCAGCGACUGUGAGGGUGAAUAGAGACUAGGUAAAGAAAGAAAGCCCUAAUGUUCCUGCACCUCCAGAGAAGGUGUGCUGGCUCCCAACCAGCUUUCCACACUCAGAGACCUAAAUCCUCUAAAGACUCAUUCUGGGAAGAUCUUGGCAUGAGGAUACAGCGGCUAUGCCUGAGCCGGGCCUUUGCAGACGUCUGUUUCCCUGGGAUCCCUCACCCUACCAUACCCCCUCACCAGCAUCAAGGACGUGGCUCCGGGAAGAGUGUGCUGGCUGUUUCUAUGGAGCCUGUUGCCUUUUUUCUCUCUCCUCAAGAAGAGCAAGGGAGUACUACAGAUGGUCCAAAAUAUGAUAACUCGGGGCCAACGGGCCUCCUUACUUUUGACCCAAGGCGGAACAAACUUCACACUGAACGACCAGGAGCUUUUUUCAACUCACCAAAUGAAUUUGUCAUCAUUGCGGCACGGUGGCCGGCAGCAAGUUCCUUAGGCCCUCGGGAGUGUUGCUUCAUGAACUGUGAGAGUCCAAACAGCUUUCUGAUAAAAGUCAUCUCCUCCUAGAGACAGUAGAUGGGGCACUUUUGGAAACAUUGUUUUUUGGAGCAGAGUGGGAUGUUUUGAUAGUCCAAUUAAAACACGUAUCAUAUGUUUUA